CAAAUAUAUAAUGACCAGACUAGGUCUAUACUGCUCCUACAUGGUGUAACAAUACAUCAUGUAGAUGUAUAUAAUGACCAGACUAGGUCUAUACUGCUCCUACAUGGUGUAACAUCAUGUAGAUGUAUAUAAUGACCAGACUAGGUCUGUACUGCUCCUACAUGGUGUAACAUCAUGUAGAUGUAUAUAAUGAACAGACUAGGUCUAUACUGCUCCUACAUGGUGUAACAUCAUGUAGAUGUAUAUAAUGACCAGACUAGGUCUAUACUGCUCCUACAUGGUGUAACAUCAUAUAGAUGUAUAUAAUGACCAGACUAGGUCUAUACUGCUCCUACAUGGUGUAACAAUACAUCAUAUAGAUGUAUAUAAUGACCAGACUAGGUCUAUACUGCUCCUACAUGGUGUAACAAUACAUCAUAUAGAUGUAUAUAAUGAACAGACUAGGUCUAUACUGCUCCUACAUGGUGUAACAUCAUGUAGAUGUAUAUAAUGACCAGACUAGGUCUAUACUGCUCCUACAUGGUGUAACAA
Long non-coding RNA from Oncorhynchus tshawytscha (Chinook salmon), 531 nucleotides. The record is from Ensembl. NCBI's taxonomy places the organism in Eukaryota, Metazoa, Chordata, Actinopteri, Salmoniformes, Salmonidae.